ACCCCGCAGUUUCUCAGUCCAUGGGCGUUACGUUGCCUUCACUCGCGUAAAUUGCGGCGGCCAUUUUUAGAAUCAUUAAAAGUAAAUUAUCAUUGAAUAGGCAAAGUGCAAAAUAUUGGCAAUUUUUAUCAUUAACUGACGAAAUUACUUAUCCAAAAGUAUUUUAACCAGGUAUGUCCCUCUAAAUUUUAUCUUACCUCUGGUCCAAAAUUCGUAAACCAGCAGCUAUAUAUAAGUAACGCCGGAUUUCUUUUUGAGAUAAUUACCUAUUUACAUCGUUGUUCAACUAUGCCUUUUCACAGCCGCUUAUUACGAUUUGUUGGUUUUCGAAUUGCUCGUCGCAAAAAUAAAUAAAAAUUAAUUCUUGAGGCUGUACCGGUAACACUGAGUUCGUUUACCUACCGGCGCAGCGGUGGACAAUGUUGGCGGGAAAAUCGAAAAGUUGCCGUCAUAACAUACUUUUCCUUAAUUUAACGUCUCUGCUAUUCAUAGCUAUGGCAGAAGGGAAUGGUGAAUUGGCAGGAGAAGAGUCGAUGAAAGUCGAAGAUAAUCAGCAGAGGACGGAAGAUUAUCAGAAAUUACUUGAAUAUGGCCUAGACGAAAAAGUGGCGGCAAAACUUGACGACAUCUACAAGACUGGUAAAUUGGCCCACGUCGAUCUGGAUGAGCGGGCUCUUGACGCAUUAAAAGAAUUUCCAGUUGAUGGUGCACUUAAUGUACUGGGACAGUUUCUUGAAUCAAAUCUGGAACAUGUUUCGAAUAAGUCAGCUUACUUAUGUGGCGUAAUGAAAACAUAUCGUCAAAAAAGUCGAGCUGGAUCAAGUCAAGGUCCACCUACACCUGCCGCGGCUCCAGUCAAGGGGCCCGAUGAAGACAAAAUAAAAGCAAUACUUGAGAGAACAGGAUACACAUUAGAUGUUACAACAGGUCAGAGAAAGUAUGGUGGUCCUCCUCCAGGUUGGGAGGGUCCAACUCCUGGUCCCGGUUGCGAAGUGUUUUGCGGCAAGAUUCCAAAGGAUAUGUAUGAAGACGAACUGAUCCCAUUAUUUGAACAGUGUGGUACAAUUUGGGACUUACGACUAAUGAUGGACCCAAUGACGGGGACGAAUCGGGGCUACGCAUUUGUAACCUUCACAGGACGCGACGCUGCCCAGGCAGCCGUUCAAAAGCUUGAUAAUUACGAAAUCAAACCAGGCAAGACGCUGAAAAUUAACAUAAGCGUUCCGAACCUUCGGCUUUUCGUCGGCAACAUACCAAAGUCUAAAGGCAAAGAGGAGAUACUGGAAGAGUUCAGUAAAUUGACAGCCGGCCUGGUUGAGGUGAUAAUCUACAGCUCCCCCGAUGACAAGAAAAAGAACCGCGGUUUUUGUUUUCUUGAGUAUGAAUCACACAAGGCGGCGUCGUUGGCAAAACGGCGCCUUGGUACUGGUCGUAUCAAGGUUUGGGGUUGCGAUAUAAUUGUCGAUUGGGCCGAUCCACAGGAGGAACCCGACGAACAGACGAUGGCCAAAGUAAAGGUGUUAUAUGUACGCAACUUGACGCAGGAAAUCACGGAAGAGAAAUUGAAAGAAGCAUUUGAACAAUAUGGGAAGGUGGAGCGGGUCAAAAAGAUUAAAGACUAUGCGUUCAUACAUUUUGAAGAACGAGAGCAUGCCGUUAAGGCUAUGACAGAAUUAGAUGGCAAGGAAAUGGGUGGAUCAAAUAUAGAAGUGUCAUUAGCUAAACCGCCGUCUGAUAAAAAGAAAAAAGAAGAAAUUCUGCGUGCUCGAGAGAGAAGAAUGAUGCAAAUGAUGCAAGUUCGAGGGGGCAUGAUGCCAGGCGCUUUGCCUAUGCGUGGUCCUCCAGGUCAAGGUCCGAGGACUGGAACUGGAAUGCGAGCCGGACCCAUGGGACGGGGCGACUACGAUUACGAUUACGACUAUUACGGUUAUGGGGAUUAUCGAGGCGGCUACAGUGAUCCUUAUUAUGACGAGUAUUACCGGUAUGAAGAUUACUAUUACGAUUAUCCACCGCCGGCCCCACCCCAAGCUAGAGGAAGAGGCCGACAACCACAACCGGAGUUGGACGAAGGAACAACGCUGAGUUCUACCGGUUUAUUCUAUGAAGUGAGCUGCGGAACGCAGGCUGGCCGUGGGCGUGGGGUGGUGGCGCGUGGGCGAGCCGGUGGGCCCCCGGCCCGUGGGGCGCCGGCCAACCGGGCGGGCCGGGGCGCAGCGGCCGUGGCCCGUGGAGCGGCCCGCCAGCCCGCUCGUGGAGCAGCCCGCGCCAAGGGAAGUUUACCAGCUGUUUUGUUGGCUGUUGCUUAGUUUUUUUCUUGAACGUCUGCAAACGGAGUUAGGAUGACAAAUCUUAGUCUUUAUUUGUAAGCGGAAGUUAGACGGGGGUCACCAGAACCAGGGGGAGUCAAAGCGCAGAUACCAGAGCAGCUGGGGUAACCAGCCACUGGCGCAGC
RNAcentral lists this unclassified non-coding RNA (2452 nucleotides) under Agrilus planipennis (emerald ash borer). RNAcentral's name for it is "heterogeneous nuclear ribonucleoprotein R, transcript variant X2". The record is from RNAcentral. Lineage: Eukaryota; Metazoa; Arthropoda; Insecta; Coleoptera; Buprestidae.